UACAGAGGUCUCAAGCGUUGUUCGGAUUCAUUGGGCGUAAAGGGAGCGUAGGUGGCGGGGCAAGUCAGGUGUGAAAUCUCGGGGCUCAACCCCGAAACUGCACUUGAUACUGCCUUGCUAGAGUACUGGAGAGGAGAUUGGAAUUUACGGUGUAGCAGUGAAAUGCGUAGAUAUCGUAAGGAAGACCAGUGGCGAAGGCGAAUCUCUGGGACGGUACUGACGCUGAGACGCGAAAGCGUGGGGAGCGAACAGG
RNAcentral lists this ribosomal RNA (253 nucleotides) under uncultured bacterium. RNAcentral describes it as "partial 16S ribosomal RNA". It matches the Rfam family "Bacterial small subunit ribosomal RNA", at positions 524 to 776 of the family's 1533-position model. The record is from RNAcentral.